RNAcentral lists this ribosomal RNA (198 nucleotides) under uncultured Diaphorobacter sp. Its description in RNAcentral is "partial 16S ribosomal RNA". It matches the Rfam family "Bacterial small subunit ribosomal RNA", at positions 335 to 525 of the family's 1533-position model. Lineage: Bacteria; Pseudomonadati; Pseudomonadota; Betaproteobacteria; Burkholderiales; Comamonadaceae. The record is from RNAcentral.
ACUCCUACGGGAGGCAGCAGUGGGGAAUUUUGGACAAUGGGCGAAAGCCUGAUCCAGCCAUGCCGCGUGCAGGAUGAAGGCCUUCGGGUUGUAAACUGCUUUUGUACGGAACGAAAAGACUCUGGUUAAUACCUGGGGUCCAUGACGGUACCGUAAGAAUAAGCACCGGCUAACUACGUGCCAGCAGCCGCGGUAAUA